UCAGUGCUCAUCUGAUUGCCACACUGACUGACAGUUUCACUGAAAUAACUUAUAUCUUUCAUAGACUUUGUGACUGACAGACCAAAUGUUAACCCUGAUAGAAACUGAAUGAUUAUCCAUUAGAUUUAUACUACAAGCAGUCCCUCCUAUUUGGUGAAGUCUAUUGCAUGUUAGAAAAAAAAAAUCAGUGUACAAAUUUGGAGUAGUGUCAUGAGAGUCAGUACCAUAUUUAUUUAUUUUAUUCAUUCAGUUACUUAAAGCUACAUGACUAGAGAUACUGCCUUGCCCAGGUAUUGUGAAUAUGUUGGAAUUAUUGAGAGGUAGAACUCACUAGUAAUUGAAUAUGUUGAAAUUCUUCUGUGUUGAUGUCUUUCAGGUGUGAUUGAAGAGGCCUCAAUUUUGCCUGGAUUGUUUUUGACGUGAACAUGCAGUGGAAGAUGUGACCUUAUUUUGUUAACUUGAGCAACAGGUUACUUCAGGUUGCGAGAGGGAUCAAAGAAGAAAAAAGCCCAAAAAAGAAUCAGAGUUUAAAGGAAGGAGAAAUGUAAAGAAUAUCUCACUCUCUCUUGCAAGACUUGUACAUGUAAUCUAAUAGCUUUAACGUUUUUCUAUUGAUCUCGUACACUUGUACAGUUUAAACUGGUUUCUUUAUAUGGCUCAUUUAAAGUUCUCACUACCUUACUUUUUAGCUGUCACGAGAAAUGAACAUCUCAGGUAAGGGAGUAGUCAGCAAAAUAGCAAGCCUGAGAAUAGCUGAAUAUUUCUUGUAAUACGCAUGCGUAUUGACACACAUUUGCUUACAAAAAAAUACAUGCGUUUUUUUAAAAGAAUGUUUGUACCACAAAGUAGACAACUUAUUGUAAAGACUUAAACAUUUUUUUUGAAAUGUGGACGAAAUUGUGGAGGCUGGUCGGUUGAAACUGUCUAAAGUUAUUGUAAUAUUACUGUAUUAUAAGAUUGUAAGAUUACUGUUAUAUACAUGUAUUUUAAAAGAUUGUAUUGUAAUACUGUACUAUAAUAUUAGUUGGCUAACAUUGACGGGUGUGGGGAGGGAGCCAGGUUUGGUUAAUUUUCCAGGGUUGAUUGAGAUCUGUUGGGGGACGGUGGACGGAUCAAACCCCAAUUUUUUUUUUUUUUAUUCUCUCAAUUGGGGGUCGAUCCAAUUUAGCUUCUUUCGAAGAUUGAUAUUAGGCUCAGGUCUUUUGCUGAUCGGGUUUCCGGCUUGGUAUCCAGCUUUGGGUGGUCGAAGAAGGAAACAAGGAAAUAAAAAUUAAGACCAAGAAUUUGAGACAUUAAAAACGUUACCCGCCUUCAUACUUCAUCAGACUUUCGGAAAACAAACGGAAACAAAUUUCGACCCCCAAUUUUUCGUUCCUUGCUUGGUUGACAUUCUUCCUUACUCCCUUACGUGAGAUAGCCAUUUCUCGUGACAUUUAAAAGGUGUGAUAAAGAGAGCUUUAAAGGAGCCAUACAAACAUUCCCGCCAAAAGCACUUGACGUUAUGAAAGUGCACCACAAGGACAAAGUUGACGAUAGUUUCCAACCUCUCAUUUAACACCUCUUUUCACGGUUGAUAUCUUUCUUUGGCUUCUUUCGUGAAGGUAGAAAUACCUGCGAGGUGAAGAGAAAUAAACGAAACUCUCAAUUUC
RNAcentral lists this long non-coding RNA (1649 nucleotides) under Stylophora pistillata. Its description in RNAcentral is "uncharacterized LOC111323668". Lineage: Eukaryota; Metazoa; Cnidaria; Anthozoa; Scleractinia; Pocilloporidae. The record is from RNAcentral.